RNAcentral lists this non-coding RNA (68 nucleotides) under Thermovenabulum gondwanense. Its description in RNAcentral is "NiCo sequence". It matches the Rfam family "NiCo (Nickel/Cobalt) riboswitch aptamer". The record is from RNAcentral. Lineage: Bacteria; Bacillati; Bacillota; Clostridia; Thermosediminibacterales; Thermosediminibacteraceae.
AUAGUCAACGAGAACAGGCGAAAGCCGGGCGCUUUAUGCGCAGCAAGUGAAAGACUUGCGGGACUCAC